UUAAGCUAAGAAGAGCGUAGGGAGAAUGCCUUGGCAUUAGGAGCCGACGAAGGACGUGAUAAGCUGCGAUAAGCUGCGGGGAUCAGCAAGUAUGAAUUGAUCCGCAGAUUUCCGAAUGGAGCAAUCCGUAUGUGUAUGCACAUACAUCAUAUACUGAAUCAAAUAGGUAUAUGAGGGGAACCGCCUGAACUGAAACAUCUAAGUAGGGCGAGGAAGAGAAAUCAACCGAGAUUCUGUGAGUAGUGGCGAGCGAAAGCGGAAGAGGCUAAACCAUAGGUAGCAAUACUUAUGGGGUUUCGGACAGCAUUUAGUAUUGAUAAUUUCUAGUUGAAACGUGUGGGAAAACGUACCGAAGAGUGUGAGAGUCACGUAAGCGAAAGAGAAAGUCAGCGAGCUGUAUCCAAAGUACCGCGGGACACGUGAAACCCCGUGGGAAGAUGGGGGGACCAUCCUCCAAGCCUAAAUACUACCUAAUGACCGAUAGCGAAUAGUACUGUGAAGGAACGGUGAAAAGAACCCCGGGAGGGGAGUGAAAAAGAACCUGAAACCCUAUGCUUACAAGCACCGAGAGCACGUCAAAGUGUGAUCGGGUACCUUUUGUAGAAUGGUCCGGCGAGUUAUUGUAUGCGGCAAGGUUAAGUGCUUAAGGCACGGAGCCGAAGCGAGAGCAAGUCUGAAUAGGGCGAGUAAGUCGUAUGCAAUAGACCCGAAACCGAGUGAUCUAUCCAUGUCCAGGCUGAAGUGGAGGUAAAACUCCAUGGAGGGCCGAACACACGUCCGUUGAAAAGGCCGGUGAUGAGGUGUGGAUAGCGGAGAAAUUCCAAUCGAACUCGGAUAUAGCUGGUUCUCUCCGAAAUAGCUUUAGGGCUAGCCUCGUGAAAGAUUACUGGAGGUAAAGCACUGAAUGGGCUAGGGGUCGAAAGAUUACUGAACCCUAUCAAACUAAGAAUGCCAGAUAAUUGAUUCACGGGAGUCAGACAAUGUGAGAUAAGUCUCAUUGUCAAAAGGGAAACAGCCCAGACCCACAGCUAAGGUCCCUAAACAUUGUUAAGUGGAAAAGGAUGUGGGGUUGCAUAAACAACCAGGAUGUUGGCUUAGAAGCAGCCACUCAUUAAAAGAGUGCGUAAUAGCUCACUGGUCGAGUGACCCUGCGCCGAAAAUUCAACGGGGCUAAACAAUGUACCGAAGCUUGGGAUUCUAGAUUUAUCUAGAGUGGUAGGAGAGCGUCGAAUAAGGGGUGAAGUCAGAGCGGAAGCGCUGGUGGACUUUAUUCGAGUGAGAAUGCCGGAAUGAGUAGCGAGAAUUAUGUGAGAAUCAUAAUGGCCGAAAAUCUAAGGUUUCCUGAGGAAGGUUCGUCCGCUCAGGGUAAGCCGGGGGCUAAGGCGAGGCGGAGACGCGUAGCCGAUGCACAUACGGUUGAAAUUCCGUAGCCACCGAAAGAUUUAAGUACAGGGACGCUUUAGAAGUGAUGUAGCCGGGCGAUGGUUGACCCGGUCGUAAGGGAUCGAAAAUGAGUAGAGAAGUCAUCAUGGAAAGAGACAAGAAAAGCUGUAUGAAUAUCUUAGGUGCCCGUACCGCAAACCGACACAGGUAGAUAGGAAGAAGAUUCUAAGGCCAACGGGAGAAGGGUUGUUAAGGAACUCGGCAAGUUGACCCCGUAACUUAGGGAUAAGGGGUGCUCAAGUGAUUGAGCCGCAGAGAAUAGGCCCAGGCGACUGUUUAGCAAAAACACAGGUCUCUGCUAAAUCGAAAGAUGACGUAUAGGGGCUGACACCUGCCCGGUGCCGGAAGGUUAAGAGGAGAUGUGAGAGCAUUGAAUUGAAGCCCCGGUAAACGGCGGCCGUAACUAUAACGGUCCUAAGGUAGCGAAAUUCCUUGUCAGGUAAGUUCUGACCCGC
RNAcentral lists this ribosomal RNA (1898 nucleotides) under human gut metagenome. Its description in RNAcentral is "bacterial LSU rRNA". It matches the Rfam family "Bacterial large subunit ribosomal RNA", at positions 3 to 1991 of the family's 2925-position model. The record is from RNAcentral.